Branchiostoma floridae (Florida lancelet) is the source of this 476-nucleotide long non-coding RNA. RefSeq lists it as uncharacterized. Lineage: Eukaryota; Metazoa; Chordata; Leptocardii; Amphioxiformes; Branchiostomatidae. The transcript has 3 exons. The record is from RefSeq and is a predicted model, not a curated record.
AAAAUGCAUAAUUUGUACUUCCACAAUGAUGCCACACAUAACCCCAGCUCGCUUAGAGUUCAACAAGAACGGUGAAGAAAACUUGUUCUCUCACGACUGUCUUCUGAGUGGAAGUACACAGUUAAAUUAGGUGUAUGCUGUCAUCUUGUAUCAAAAUAUUCAUCAAAUCUCAAUCUUUUAAUCUACAGGCCGAGCGCAAUACUUGAUGGAAUCAAGUAUCUGAGGAAGACCAACAUUUAGUGUACUCUACAUGGAACUGACAAAGUGUCCGAGCUUCAAGGCCUGUCUGAAAUGAGAUGCAGGACACCAGAAGCAGAGCAACAGGACUACGCAGAAGUAACAACAUCAUGGUCAACUUGUGGACAGAUCAAUUGGUUUAAUGGAUGUUCACAGAACACGAAAUAGUCUAGAUAAAAAUACAGCAUUCUACAUAUCUAUAAUCAUCAAAAGUGAAAAUAAAGAAUGGAAAUACAAAG